Long non-coding RNA from Megalobrama amblycephala (Wuchang bream), 504 nucleotides. RefSeq lists it as uncharacterized. The record is from RefSeq and is a predicted model, not a curated record. Lineage: Eukaryota; Metazoa; Chordata; Actinopteri; Cypriniformes; Xenocyprididae. The transcript has 2 exons.
ACAAUCAUGUGUCAGCUGUUACUUUUCUCAGCGAUGAUUUGAAUUGACCAAUCAAAUCGUUUGUUAAUAAUAUUUUUUUUUUUUUUUUUUUUUUUUUAAUCAUAUAAAAACGAGAUUGUGGGUCAGUUUUGCAUGCUAAGUGUUAACAAAUUAAUAGAUUUAACCAAAUAUACUUUUUAGUAAAUAAAUGUAUCCAAUAAUAACAUCCUGAGAUUUGAACACAGUCGUGGAGUCGGUUCUCAGCCAUGCGCCACCUGGAGGAAGACAACUUUUGUCCCACAGAAAACAUAAUCAAGCAACAUUUACCAUCCAAUGGAGAAGGCCUCUGCUAAACUAUUAAUAAGAGAGGGGGACUCCUUCUCUAAUGAAGAAACAGUCAACAAGUCCUGUCAGGAUGGAGUGUCAACAUACAGUUCAUCAACUAAUUGGACGAUGGAGAUGUGGCCCAGUUGAUACUUGGAUUUGCCAAGCAGCUAAUGCAUUAAAACAUGAAUUUAAAAGGCA